AUCCAGGUGACAAGUCCCAAACAGGACAAAAUGCGAGUCCUGGAU
This is a non-coding RNA of Trichobilharzia regenti, 45 nucleotides long. The record is from Rfam. Lineage: Eukaryota; Metazoa; Platyhelminthes; Trematoda; Strigeidida; Schistosomatidae.